Molecule: long non-coding RNA, 1201 nt
Filed under: Brassica napus (rape)
Lineage: Eukaryota; Viridiplantae; Streptophyta; Magnoliopsida; Brassicales; Brassicaceae
Description: long non-coding RNA (BNAP_LNC024798)
Source: RNAcentral
GCAUCGUGCUCAGUUGGAGAUCUUGGUCUCUCUGAAAACUGGACGUUCUGAUUUCCUUGAGCUGGACGACAGUAUCUCCUCUGCCCACUUAGCUGAGAUCUACAUGAACAUGAGAUGUAAAAACCUUUCGUGCAGGGUUUUGGUGCCUGUGGAUGAAUGUGAUUGCAAGGUUUGUUCAAGCAAGGAUGGGUUAUUGGUGGUCAGGAUACCAAUCAGCCUAUUGGUUCACCAGUCCGUUCUGGAAGUGUUCGUUCUAUGACAGACACGUUUCGUACUGAUUCCGAGGGCUUCACCAUGUCUAUGUCCUUUUCAGGUUCACGUUCGUUUAAUCACAACCCAAGCUGUUCGUUGAAUCACAAUAUUGGAGAUAAUGAGCAGUCAGUUCAUAGCCGACCUAUAUUUCAAGGUAUAGAUUGGCAGGCACUGUCUCAUAAUGAUCCAAGGUACAACGAGAAUACAGUCUAUCAGAAACUGAUGGAAAAUGGAAAUGGUUCAGCUCCUCCUCAGUCAAUGAAAGGAAUUUUAAUUCCGGGUCAAGCUGAUGAAGAGCAUCUUAGAUUGACCGAUGGGAGCUCUAAGGCAGUAGAUAGGCUUGAGAAACAGUUGAGUUUCCAGAAAAGUGUUGAUCUUAGAUCAGCUGGCUCUCUCGAAAACGGUUCUAAGCACCAUGCUGAGAAGAAAAAAGCCAUGGACUUUUUUGGUGGCAGUAUCUCCGGAAUAAGUGGCAUUAACGCUGGUGGGGAUGAAUCUUUUGAGAUUGUAAUGAGAUACAUUCUCUCCGAUUCGAUGCAUGUGAUGACCAAGAGGUUUCAAGAGAUGACCACGCGAUACAUAGCUAGCUUGAAGGAAUACAUCCGGCAGAUGAUGAUGAACAAGGAUAAGAAUGCACGGCUUGGUGUUUUGCAAGAUGCUCUGCAGAACAGGACUGAUAUUACAUUGGAACUGCUUACAAAAUCGCAUCGUGCUCAGUUGGAGAUCUUGGUCUCUCUGAAAACUGGACGUUCUGAUUUCCUUGAGCUGGACGACAGUAUCUCCUCUGCCCACUUAGCUGAGAUCUACAUGAACAUGAGAUGUAAAAACCUUUCGUGCAGGGUUUUGGUGCCUGUGGAUGAAUGUGAUUGCAAGGUUUGUUCAAGCAAGGAUGGGUUUUGUAGUGCUUGCAUGUGUCUUUUGUGCUCAAACUUUGAUAUGGCAUCCAACA